Molecule: ribosomal RNA, 459 nt
Filed under: uncultured bacterium
Lineage: Bacteria
Description: partial 16S ribosomal RNA
Rfam family: Bacterial small subunit ribosomal RNA
Source: RNAcentral
CCUACGGGUGGCAGCAGUGAGGAAUAUUGGUCAAUGGUCGGAAGCCUGAACCAGCCAUGCCGCGUGAAGGAUGAAGGUCCUAUGAAUUGUAAACUUCUUUUGUUCGGGAACAAAAACUAAAACGCGUACCCAGUUGAGUGUACCUGAAGAAUAAGCAUCGGCAAACUCCGUGCCAGCAGCCGCGGUAAUACGGAGGAUUCGAGCGUUAUCCGGAUGUGUUGGGUGUAAAGGGGGCGAGGGCGGUGUGUAAAGUAAGGGGUAAAAGUCCGGGGCUUAACCCGGGUCUGCAGUUGAAACUGGUAGUCUAGAGUGGGAGAGAGGUAUGCGGAAUGUGAGGUGGAGCGGUGAAAUGCAUAGAGAUCGUGCAGAACACCGAUUGCGAAGGCAGCAUGCCGGGCUAACACUGACGCUGAGGCACGAAAGCGUGGGGAGCGAACAGGAUUAGAUACCCUAGUAGUC